UACGUAGGUGGCAAGCGUUAUCCGGAUUUACUGGGUGUAAAGGGCGUGUAGGCGGGAGAGCAAGUCAGACGUGAAAUUCCAGGGCUCAACCCUGGAACUGCGUUUGAAACUGUUCUUCUUGAGUGAUGGAGAGGCAGGCGGAAUUCCGUGUGUAGCGGUGAAAUGCGUAGAUAUACGGAGGAACACCAGUGGCGAAGGCGGCCUACUGGACGGUGACUGACGCUGGGGCUCGAAAGCGUGGGGAGCAAACAGG
Molecule: ribosomal RNA, 253 nt
Filed under: uncultured bacterium
Lineage: Bacteria
Description: partial 16S ribosomal RNA
Rfam family: Bacterial small subunit ribosomal RNA
Source: RNAcentral